RNAcentral lists this ribosomal RNA (481 nucleotides) under uncultured bacterium. RNAcentral's name for it is "partial 16S ribosomal RNA". It matches the Rfam family "Bacterial small subunit ribosomal RNA", at positions 28 to 507 of the family's 1533-position model. The record is from RNAcentral.
GAUGAACGCUGGCGGCGUGCCUAACACAUGCCAGUCGAACGGAGAUUCCGGACGGAAGUUUUCGGAUGGAAGCCUGAAAUUCUUAGUGGCGGACGGGUGAGUAACGCGUGGGCAACCUGCCCUAUACAGGGGGAUAGCAGCUGGAAACGGCUGGUAAGACCGCAUAAGUCGGUUAAAUCGCAUGAUUUGAUCGGGAAAUGAGCAAUCAGGUAUAGGAUGGGCCCGCGUCCGAUUAGCCAGUUGGCAGGGUAAAAGCCUACCAAAGCGACGAUCGGUAGCCGGACUGAGAGGUCGGACGGCCACAUUGGGACUGAGACACGGCCCAAACUCCUACGGGAGGCAGCAGUGGGGGAUAUUGCACAAUGGAGGAAACUCUGAUGCAGCGACGCCGCGUGAGUGAAGAAGUAUUUCGGUAUGUAAAGCUCUAUCAGCAGGGAAGAUGAUGACGGUACCUGACUAAGAAGCCCCGGCUAACUACGUG